RNAcentral lists this ribosomal RNA (677 nucleotides) under Mrakia sp. YSAR9. Its description in RNAcentral is "eukaryotic LSU rRNA". It matches the Rfam family "Eukaryotic large subunit ribosomal RNA", at positions 1 to 664 of the family's 3401-position model. The record is from RNAcentral. Lineage: Eukaryota; Fungi; Basidiomycota; Tremellomycetes; Cystofilobasidiales; Mrakiaceae.
CCUCAAAUCAGGUAGGACUACCCGCUGAACUUAAGCAUAUCAAUAAGCGGAGGAAAAGAAACUAACAAGGAUUCCCCUAGUAACGGCGAGUGAAGCGGGAUGAGCUCAAAUUUAAAAUCUGGCGGCCUCAGGUCGUCCGAGUUGUAGUCUAGAGAAUCGUUUUCCGCGUUGGCCUGUGUACAAGUCCCUUGGAACAGGGCGUCAUAGAGGGUGAGAAUCCCGUCCUUGACACAGAUUACCAAUGCUUUGUGAUGCGAUCUCGAAGAGUCGAGUUGUUUGGGAAUGCAGCUCAAAAUGGGUGGUAAAUUCCAUCUAAAGCUAAAUAUUGGCGAGAGACCGAUAGCGAACAAGUACCGUGAGGGAAAGAUGAAAAGCACUUUGGAAAGAGAGUUAAACAGUACGUGAAAUUGUUAAAAGGGAAACGAUUGAAGUCAGUCAUGCUUUCCGAGACUCAGCCGAUUCUGUCGGUGUACUUCUCGGUUGGCAGGCCAGCAUCAGUUUCGAUCUGUGGAAAAGGUUGGAGGGAACGUGGCAUCUCCGGAUGUGUUAUAGCCCUUCUUCGAAUACAUAGAGCGGGACUGAGGAACGCAGCGCGCCUUUUAUUAGGUUGGCCCUCGGGUACAUACGCGCUUAGGAUGCUGGCAUAAUGGCUUUAAACGACCCGUCUUGAAACACGG